UGGGGAAUAUUGCACAAUGGGCGCAAGCCUGAUGCAGCCAUGCCGCGUGUAUGAAGAAGGCCUUCGGGUUGUAAAGUACUUUCAGCGAGGAGGAAGGCGUUGUGGUUAAUAACCGCAACGAUUGACGUUACUCGCAGAAGAAGCACCGGCUAACUUCGUGCCAGCAGCCGCGGUAAUACGGAGGGUGCAAGCGUUAAUCGGAAUUACUGGGCGUAAAGCGCACGCAGGCGGUCUGUCAAGUAGGAUGUGAAAUCCCCGGGCUCAACCUGGGAACUGCAUCCGAAACUGGCAGGCUAGAGUCUUGUAGAGGGGGGUAGAAUUCCAGGUGUAGCGGUGAAAUGCGUAGAGAUCUGGAGGAAUACCGGUGGCGAAGGCGGCCCCCUGGACAAAGACUGACGCUCAGGUGCGAAAGCGUGGGGAGCAAACA
Molecule: ribosomal RNA, 427 nt
Filed under: uncultured bacterium
Lineage: Bacteria
Description: partial 16S ribosomal RNA
Rfam family: Bacterial small subunit ribosomal RNA
Source: RNAcentral